UACGUAGGGUGCAAGCGUUGUCCGGAAUUAUUGGGCGUAAAGAGCUCGUAGGCGGUUUGUUGCGUCGGCUGUGAAAACCCGCGGCUCAACCGCGUGGCUUGCAGUCGAUACGGGCAGGCUAGAAUUCGGUAGGGGAGACUGGAAUUCCUGGUGUAGCGGUGAAAUGCGCAGAUAUCAGGAGGAACACCGGUGGUGUAGACGGCUUUCUGGACCGUAACUGACGCUGAAACACGAAAGCGUGGGUAGCAAACAGG
Molecule: ribosomal RNA, 254 nt
Filed under: uncultured bacterium
Lineage: Bacteria
Description: partial 16S ribosomal RNA
Rfam family: Bacterial small subunit ribosomal RNA
Source: RNAcentral